UUGGUGCGCCCCGCCCGCGAAUGCACCGGAAGGAAAUARACCGAGUACUGCGGGMAAACAAACAAACAAACAAACAAGCGGACGAGAACUGCAGAUAAGGCGCUUCGCUUUUCACUUUAUGGCGCCCUGGCGGUGCUUCCUCAAUGCCCUUGGGGCAGYCGGGGCGGCGUUGAUCGUGCCGCGGCUUUUCUAAACGCGUGUGUGACCCGAGCUCCGUGUCGGGCGGCUCCGCUCAGGAAUGCUCUCAAAGCCUCGGGCUGCCGCAGAGUUUCCUUCCCAGCCGUGGCAGCUGGCACAUGAGCCCCCGGACACGUCGUGUCCUGGCUGUCGCUGCUCAUUUAUCGGCGGGGAUAGGCUCGGUGGGGCAGCGCAGUGCUGCGGCUCGGCUCGAAACUGCAGCGAGGGACAGUUCCCCAGUACUGUUGGUAAUUUGUAGGCUACACAUCGCCUUCAGGCUGUAAACCCUCUUUUCCAGCUCAACCAAAUAACCUUUCUUCUGACUUUGUAAAGAUUGCGAAAACUGCUUGUGUGAAAAUGUUGAGAAGGCCUUGAGCUGCGCRUGAUAAGAAAGAAACUACUGGGAACACAGGAGGAAAAACAAAAGGCAUAUGACAGGAGGAGUGUGAAUACCUUGAAYUGGUAUUGCUGCCAGGUUGCUUGGUUGUUCCUUCUGGGCAAAACAGAAGAUGGCUUCUUCAAUGACUCUUCUGAUGACACAUUGCUGAUUGGAGUUCUGUUCCUUUCAAACUGUAUAUAUAAAUCCUGUUUUGUCUGGACACAGCAGCAAACAGGAGAUCGUUUCCAUGCUCAGUGUCAGGCCCCCACCAGGCAACAUCCCCCACACGUCCACAAAYACACAAUUGUAUGCUGCUGUUGCUUUUGUGGACAGGAGGGGCUGUUGUCRUCUAUUGCCCUUGCUGUCACAAGCCUAAUGUUUCAUUUAAUUACCUCCACAACCUGUGGAGGUUGUGCUGCUUUUUGUAUCUUCAUCUCAGAUAUACAGUGACUCCCCCAGACAACUCCCAACCCUCCUGAUUUCAGAUCAGAUUAUUCAACUUCCACUCCAKGUCUCUCAUUCUGGUGAAUGAUUUGAACAGUGACUUCAGUUGUUUUGGAUAAAAUAAAUUUUAAAAAUAAAGGAUAUUUGGCUGUAGCUGGAAUGGAGGUAGGCUAUUAUUCUUACUAACCCUAAAUAGGAUUUAGACUUUACCAUAAAUCAGAGAUGCAUCUCUUGAAAGUUGGUCUUGAAAUCUGCCUUUUAGUGUCUCCUGAAUCAUUAUGACUUUCUGUCUAGAUGAGCAGACAAGUGCCUGGUUUCCAGAGUGGAAUCCAUCACCCUGAAAUUUCUUUCAAGUAUCUUUUUUUUGUGUGCUUACCAGAAGCAAUUUAAGGCUGCAGUCUAAUAGUGCUUUUUCUUUGAAGAAUUCUUCUUAUGCCAGUAGACACCCCUAAGCCCCCUUAGUAAGAAGGGCUCCUCUGCCUGCAUGGUAAGCCAGCUCAGCCUACUGCCUGUGCAGGAACCUAUUCACUUGCUUUUCUUACAUUCUAUAUUUUUUUCAGAUACACCUUGUUUAAGAGGGUGAGUAAGAAGCAUAGCACAUAUGUCUUCCCCAAGUACAAUCCAGAAAGUGGCUGAAGGGUUUCAAGACUUUGGUAUCUAAACUAGGGAUUUUAUCUUUCCUGAUUUGUCAAUUACAAGAAGAGGACAUUUAACUGAUGUGCUAAGGAUCUUCCUCUUGCUCUUUGUCCUGCUGUUUGGUCAAAUGUUUGGUUUGUUGUUGGCUGGUUUUUGGGGGUGGGGUUUGUUUUGUUUUGUUCUAGCAUCUGAUAUUUUGUAGUAGAUGAAAAAAGAUACAUUGUGUUCUGGACUAAUAUGCCUUUUAAAAGUCAUUGUGUUAUAGAAAUGCACCUGCAAGUACAUACAUACAUACAUACAGAACUAUUCCCACUAUACUAGAUGGAUGCUCAAUCUGAUGCCUUAUCAAGAUAGAGCAAAGACAUGGAGUAAGCAGCCUGUCUAGUAUUUUGUGUAUGGAGCACUGUUUUCCAUCUUUCAUCAUGAUCCAAAUAAUGGUAUUGCAGACCACCACACAUGCAGCCYACUCCAAGAAAAUGUUAAGCAAGCAUAGACCCUUCAGAGAACUGUCUGAAUUUCUCAUUUCUUGGGCAGAGAUAUGUUAGAGUGGCUUUUGCAGUACUCAAACACAUCCAUGGCUACUUAAUACCAAGAAURGAAAAAGACAAAACAUAUGUUCUGGCAAACAUGGAGAAGCAGAUUAAAUUACAACAAGCAUACUCCUUAUCCCAACUGCUAUUUUCAUGACAUUCAAAAUAAGCAAAUUUGCAUACAUGUGGAAUUUGCAUUCACCUUCUAUYACCAGUUAUGUGAUUGAUUAAAGAUUCCAUUGUGUUAGAUAAAACGGAUUUAUUUUAGCAAACUGUCUAUUCCAGAUUUCUGCUGUUCCUUAACUAAGGAGUUAAGCAUUGGAAUGUCAGCCUGUGAGGGUUCAGUUACACUGUGUCAGGUGAAUGUAUGGUCUGAAUAAAUACAGCUACAAUUCUCCCACCAGAAUGACUAAGAAAGUUCUUUUUCCACUGAUUUAACAGCACCAGAACAGGCUUUCAGGCUUUUCAGUUUCCAUUUUGCCUAAAUACCGCUGUGCGUGGACUCAUACUCAUCUAUUCUGUGAAUGUGUUGACUAGAAAAUCUUCUGUUUCCAGUGCACAAAUCCUGGCAGAGGUGCAGGGGUCUUAGYUCAGACACUCAGGUGCCAGAAUAAGCUGUGAUCUUGUAUCUUGUA
This is a long non-coding RNA of Malurus melanocephalus (red-backed fairy wren), 2801 nucleotides long. RefSeq lists it as uncharacterized. The record is from RefSeq and is a predicted model, not a curated record. NCBI's taxonomy places the organism in Eukaryota, Metazoa, Chordata, Aves, Passeriformes, Maluridae. The transcript is spliced from 3 exons.